This 433-nucleotide ribosomal RNA is filed under the name uncultured bacterium. Its description in RNAcentral is "partial 16S ribosomal RNA". It matches the Rfam family "Bacterial small subunit ribosomal RNA", at positions 28 to 507 of the family's 1533-position model. The record is from RNAcentral.
GACGAACGCUGGCGGCAGGCCUAACACAUGCAAGUCGAGCGGACCUUUCGUGGUCAGCGGCGGUCGGGUGAGUAACGCGUGGGAAUAUGCCCUUCUCUACGGAAUAGUCCUGGGAAACUGGGGGUAAUACCGUAUACGCUCUUCGGGGGAAAGAUGUAUCGGGGAAGGAUUAGCCCGCGUUGGAUUAGGCUGUUGGUGGGGUAAUGGCCUACCAAGCCGACGAUCCUUAGCUGGUUUGAGAGGAAGAGCAGCCACACUGGGGAUGAGACACGGCCCAGAAUCCUACGGGAGGCAGGAGAGGGGAAUCUUAGACAAUGGGGGCAGCCCUGAUCUAGCCAUGCCGGGUGAGUGAUGAAGGCCUUAGGGAUGUGAAGCUCUUUCAGCUGGGAAGAUAAUGACGGUACCAGCAGAAGAAGCCCCGGCUAACUCCGUG